This 73-nucleotide transfer RNA is filed under the name Felis catus (domestic cat). It matches the Rfam family "tRNA". From Rfam's summary of the family: Transfer RNA (tRNA) molecules are approximately 80 nucleotides in length. RNAcentral also lists the same sequence under 1 other name. Lineage: Eukaryota; Metazoa; Chordata; Mammalia; Carnivora; Felidae. The record is from Rfam by way of RNAcentral.
ACCUGGCUGGCUCACUUGGUAGAGCAUGUGACUCUUGAUCUCAUGGUUGUGAGUUAAAGCCCCACGUUGGGCA